UGCCCACUUCUCUCGGGUGGUCGUCUCGGGUCCUCUGACUCUGCUCAGGAGAAUGAAGAGGAAGAAGUGGAGAAGGAACCUGUGGCUGUUGGAGAAGUAAUGCCUGAAGGAAUGAAAGCUUUGCCUAAGGACGUGCCACCCAAGCUGGAGACUCCCAGAAACCUGUCACCUGUGUUCCUCUCCUUCCUGCAGUCUUGCCUGAACUGGAAUGUGAGGCCCCGAUGGCCCACCAGGCUGCUUCUGCAGCAUCCGUUUUUAGGAAAAUCCAAGAGUCUUGUCGAGAUGGCUCCUCUGAUUGAUGCAGUCAGGAGACCCAGAA
Molecule: long non-coding RNA, 319 nt
Organism: Pseudopipra pipra
Lineage: Eukaryota; Metazoa; Chordata; Aves; Passeriformes; Pipridae
Exons: 3
Source: RefSeq, a predicted model, not a curated record